Molecule: long non-coding RNA, 745 nt
Organism: Poecile atricapillus (Black-capped chickadee)
Lineage: Eukaryota; Metazoa; Chordata; Aves; Passeriformes; Paridae
Exons: 4
Source: RefSeq, a predicted model, not a curated record
AAAAAUGCCAAAAAUGCACAAAAUCCCCCCCAAAAAUUUGGAAUUUUUGCUGCUGGAAGGAGAAUUUUAUUGGGAUUUUUUGAUCAGAAAAUGAUUUUUUAGCUCCAGAAUUGGAAUUCUGGGAGCGGAUCAAGCUCCAGGCAUCCCAAAUUCCCUGGGAAAAAGGGAUGGGGAGGGAAAAGGAGGUGGAAAAAAAUGGGAGGAAUCCUCAAUUUCCUGGGAUCAGAGGUGGAUGUUGGAGUCUGUGAAUUCCCAAAUUCCCAAAUCCUGAAUUCCCAAAUUCCCAAAUAAAUCCCGGGAUUCCUGGGAUCAGAUCCAGAUGUCGGAGGUGCCGUUCCCCGUUCCCCAUUCCCGGAAUUCCCGGGAUUCCCGGGAUCAGAUCCAGAUGUCGGAGGUGCCGUUCCCCAUUCCCCAUUCCCAGAAUUCCCACAGAAUUCCCGGGAUCAGAUCCAGAUGUCGGAGGUGCCGUUCCCCAUUCCCCAAAUUCCCAGAAUUCCCAGAAUUCCCGCAGAAUUCCCGGGAUCAGAUCCAGAUGUCGGAGGUGCCGUUCCCCGUUCCCCAUUCCCGGAAUUCCCGGGAUUCCCGGGAUCAGAUCCAGAUGUCGGAGGUGCCGUUCCCCAUUCCCCAUUCCCAGAAUUCCCGGAAUUCCCGCAGAAUUCCCGGGAUCAGAUCCAGAUGUCGGAGGUGCCGUUCCCCAUUCCCAGAAUUCCCAGAAUUCCCGGAAUUCCCGGGAUUCCCGGGAUCA